GAAUGAAAGCGAGCCGCGCCAAGCGGUAUCAAUUUCAAUCAAACUCCGAAUUCCGAGAUGCUUAUUCUGGGAGUCAGACUGUGGGAGAUAAGUUUCAUGGUCAAAAGGGCAACAGCCCGGACCGCCAACUAAGGUCCCUAAAUUCGCGCUAAGUGUUAAAGGAUGUAGAGAUACUUAAACAGCUAGGAUGUUGGCUCAGAGGCAGCCAUCAUUUAAAGAAUGCGUAACAGCUCACUAGUCAAGUGUCUCCGCGCCGAAAAUUUACCGGGGCUAAGCGCGAUACCGAAGUUGCGGAUAUUUCUAAAGAAAUGUGGUAGGGGAGCGUUCCAUUAGCAUAGAAGCCAUACCGGAAGGAGUGGUGGAGCGAAUGGAAGUGAGAAUGCCGGCGUAAGUAACGAUAAGAGGUGAGAAUCCUCUUCACCAUUUGACUAAGGUUUCCUGGGCUAGGUUCGUCCACCCAGGGUCAGUCGGGACCUAAGACGAGGCCGAAAGGCGUAGCCGAUGGACAGCAGGUUAAUAUUCCUGAACCCGGUUGUGUGCGAUCGCAGUGACGAAAGCGGUUAGGUUUACCCACGAAUGGAAGUGUGGGGAGAUAGUGAUAAGCUGUCGGCUAGAAUCCGACACCAAGUGAAACACCGAAGUACGAAAGGGGUGACCUGAGUAGGAAGUAGCUGAUACCGAUUUCCAAGAAAAGCUGCUAGCUUAAGCACAAUCGGCCCGUACCGAGAACGGACACACGUGGUCAAGGAGAGUAUCCUAAGGUGAGCGAGAUAACUGUUGUUAAGGAACUCUGCAAAAUUACUUCGUAAGUUAGCGAGAAGAAGUGCUCCGUAAAAGGAGCCGCAGUGAAGAGGCCCAAGUAACUGUUUACCAAAAACACAGCUCUAUGCUAAGUCGUAAGACGAUGUAUAUGGGGUGAAGCCUGCCCGGUGCCGGAAGGUUAAUAGGAGAGGUGAAAGCUUUGAAUUGAAGCCCCGGUGAACGGCGGCCGUAACUAUAACGGUCCUAAGGUAGCGAAAUUCCUUGUCAGGUAAGUUCUGACGUGCACGAAUGGUUUAAUAAUUUGGGCGCUGUCUCGACAGCAGACUCGGUGAAAUCUUAAUACCGGUGAAGAUGCCGGUUACCCGCGACUAGACGGAAAGA
This 1143-nucleotide ribosomal RNA is filed under the name human gut metagenome. RNAcentral describes it as "bacterial LSU rRNA". It matches the Rfam family "Bacterial large subunit ribosomal RNA", at positions 912 to 2088 of the family's 2925-position model. The record is from RNAcentral.